AUGUUUGUCUAUGAUCCUUACUUUAUGACUUAGAUCGAUUGAACAUAACUCCAAUGAUCAUCUUUUCACAGUCCCAAACCCUUACUGCAAAUGCAAGAAUUCCAAAUUCAUGCCAUUUACCGAAAUUUGUUAGAUUCUAAACUUAUAUGCAUUGAUCCUCUUGUAAUGAUUAUGCACAAAUUCACUUGGAAACCAUAAUUAUAGAGUAUUCCAAAGGAGAUCAACUCCUUGGAAACAUCCUUGUUACAUUAAGUUUCUUAAUCUUACACAGAUUGAUUGAACAACUUUCUAUCUUUGAACCAUUUCCAUAUUCCACUUUGACUAUCAGUNUUUGAAACAUUUCCAGAUUCCAUUUUGACUAUCACUUCUGAACAAGAGUUGCCUCCUUACAGAUUAUGUCAAUAUGGUCCUUCCAGAAUUAUCACUAUACUUCCAAUUGUCCUUGAGUAACCAAUCUUUGGUAAACCUUAGAUUGUCCUCGACAAUUGUUUAAUCCUUUUAGUCAUAUCCAGUUCUAAACCUUUUCCCUUCUUAAUGCCCCAGGCAUUUGGAAAAUUUUGAAAAGGAUAAAUAUAGCACAUGUAAUCGAUCCUAUAUCCGAAGCAUAUGGGAAACGAUCCAUGAUGUCUCACAUAAAGACUAAACCAGUCUUUUGCUAUAAUAUUUCCAUUUCAAUUUGCCAAGUUCUCAUAAUUCAGAUUAUGAAAAGGGAUGCCGUAAUCAUAAUCGAAUUUUAGAACGCAAAUAAUGGACCCAUAUACAGAAUUUCCUUAUGUUGAGCCAUUCCAACAUGAAAUUCAUAUAUAUCCUUGACUAAAUGAUUAAAACCUCACGAUCUAAGCUUAUAGAUUUGAGAUGAAGCAUAAUUUCCUCUCCCUUAAUUAUAGCAAAACAACUUUUUCCCAAUUGAAACUUUUGUUUUCUAUAAUUAACAUUGCUAACUUGCAAUACUUAUCAUAAUUAUCAUGCUCCCACUAACAUGAUGAUUAUUAGCAUAACACUUAUGCUCCCACUAGCUUUGACAUGUACUCAGAAAUCAGCUGGACAGUCUGAAAUUUAGAUUCAUACACCCUUUCCGUAGAUAGCUCACCUGUGUGUCUAAGCAAUUUCAAGAACCAUGAAAAGGGAUACCGUAAUCAUGGUCUCAAUUGCUUAGGCAUUUGCCAUUUCUCACAAGUCCAUGUUAGUGUGCCGGUUAACCACACGCGCUCCACUAACGACUUUUGAAAAUGCAAAUAACACAAUUGAUAUCUUCGUAAAAUCUACUUAGUGAAAGCGUUUCCUCACCAUCAUUUUCAUGAAUCGGAGAGAAACCUUAUGACACUUAGAUUUAUAUGGUGUAUGAGUUCCUACCCAUAUGAAUUUGUCAAACCAUAAUCACAAGACAAAGAUAAUGACAAAUCCAAAACCAUAUGGAUUGAACUCAAUCUUAACUUCUUGCCACCUGGCAGCUCAAGGGCCUGCCAUUGCUUCCAAGUUGUUAUGCAACAAACUGAGAACUCUAAGAACUCAUAUGCAAAGCCAACUUUAACUGGAAUGGGCACAGAUAUGUCAACACGAUAGGUUAUAAACCUCAAGUCGUGUGCUAGUGAAGAACUUUAGGUUUUAUUCUUGAUUAUUUCUUGAGACUUUCAAGACCUUUAAGACUCCCACUGUCCUCUUGACAUAUAAGACUCCCUUGUCAAACAUCCAAGAGAUAGUGCGGAUUCUAAUCAAGAAAAACACUUUACCCAAUUGGCCUAAGUUGGUCUUUGUUUUAUCCAAAACAUCACAACUUACCAAUUUCAAAUGUACAAGAGUAGAAAACUUUUACUCUUACAUUUGACAAGUGUUUUAAACCUUCUUUAAGACAUGUCACUCAAAUGACAAUCUUGGAGUAUGACUCUAAGACUUGUAUUGGAACGAAGUAUGACUCAUCUUCUUGAUUUAACCAUUUCAACAAUUCAAGUUCCUCUUCUUAGUCAUAAGAAUGCACUAAGAUUUCCUUAGAGAACUAAUUUUGAUAUGGUUUCUUAAUCAUUAAGAUGAUCACAAAACUGAUACUAAAGUACUCUCCCAUCUUUUCAGAUUUGAGAAACUUUUAUCCUUCUGCCUUAUUUGAUUCUUCUUAUCGAUCUUUAGUGGUGGACUUAAUCAGUGCACAAGAAUGUGUACUCGAUCCCUAAGUCCUUUACUUGACUCACACAUCCAUGUGAACAAGUAAUUAGUCUUAAUUUUCCAAAACUUGAAAGUUCUCAUUCAUCAUGCUAUACAACUUGCAUGAUUCCAAGUUCCGGUCCAAUUGAAACUUGGGUGAUGAGAAUCUUUCCUUAUUUGGUAAAUUUAGACAUUACCACAAAUGAAAGAAUCAAUUUCAUAUUUCCACUCUUGCUCUUAAUGGAAUCAUAUAAGCAACAAUUUUUCCUCAAAUGCCAUUGUAAGGAUAUUUUAAAAUAAAUAAAAUAAAAAAUUUUCUUUUAUUUUAAAACUUUGCGGAAAAACUUAUCCUUACAAUCCAUAUGAAAACUUGUUGUUAUCUAUUCCUAAGCAAUAUCUCAUAACUCCUAAGAAGUAGCUCAAGAAUCCGAUCUUCAAACUAUGCGAUAGAAAUCCAUCUACGCCAUCAGAUUCAGCAUAUUCUUUCUUUAAGUUUCUUCACUUUUCUUUGAUUCUUAAAACAUCACCAUGUGACCCAGUCACAUCAUGUAUCAAGAAUCUCAGAAUAGAAACUUAACAGAGUUAGAUAGUGGACUUUACCUGAAGUAGAGUCAAACUUAUUGACUUUAACAUCCUUAGGUAAAUUUGGCAGCUUCGCAACCAAUGCCCCUUCCUUUGGCAAUAUAAACAUAUGGACCCUUUGAUAAUGGUACACGGGACUAUCACAGACUUAGCUUUUCUCUUUACCAUUUGGUCAACCGAGUUGACUAUGGCCGAUCCCUUUCCAUUGGGAAGAGAAUGCUUUACUGGAUAUCCAAUGUCAUCAUUGUCAAUGUCCAUAAAGUUUUAGGAAGUUGAUCUUAGCAAAUAGAUAAGAUCAUUAAGGGUCUUGUCAUAGUCUGUUUCAUAGGUGUCCCAAAGGAACUCACUAUGUGACUUAGAAAGUGGUUGAACCACCAACUUUCUCAAGACUUUGACACCCAACUCUCCCGGCUUGUCAAUAUGUGACUACAUCUCCAAGAUGUGACCACACCUAGACCUUGCCUUGCCAAUAGGGCCUGAGUGACCUUAAACUUUUCAAGAACUUGUGGGUUAGGGAGAAUAAUUUGAAGAGGUGAAGAAGUAUGAUAUCCAUGGGACAUCAUCUUCAUUAGGAAACCUUGUUUCAAGAGAUUUGGGAAGAUCAUAGGUGUCUAAACCAGACAUCUUUUGGGAGAUAUUCAAGAUAGUUGAUUUAAAGUCCUUAAUAUGACACCCAAUAUGAAAUAUUAAGGCUAGGACCCAACAAACUAUUUUAUAACUUAGAAGAGGUAUGCCGUAAUCCAAGCUAUAAAAUAUUUGAAGGUAGGUGAAUGACGAUUCACCAAUUUCCACCAAGAUAAACGAAAUGUAUUAUUAGGUUUUAAUUGGUUUUGAAACUCCUAGAUCUUUGAGAUUCAUUGAACUUUUCAAAGGCAUGUUUCAAUCUCGAGUGUGCCCUUCAGGUUUUGUGACUGGGAUGCCGAGGAUCACAAAACAAGGUGUGAAGUAACCAUGCAAAUCACUUGGUACCCUUAAUAAAUUACCCCUCAAUCGAUGUGCCGGUUAACCACACACGCUCCAUCGAUACUAUGAUAAAUAUUAAGUCACCCUUUACCUACCUUGUUAAGUCCAAGUUAGUGUGCCGGUUAACCACACACGCUCCACUAACGACUUAGACAAAGUGUAAAGUGUAAUUUCAUGGAUUAGCACCUUAUUCACAUUUUUCCUAAGUAACUAAGAUUGGGUAUUAUUAAGAGUUUAGUUACUUAGUAUUAUCAUUAAUACUUUUAAUGAAGGGAGAAUUCUAGUCCUGUCAAACCCGUUCGGCUAACGACCCUCCACCAGUCAAGCAAGCGGUGGGUGAGAGUGGACACCCAUUAAGUUGCCAUUUUAUAGGCAACAACCUUAUACCCACCUUAUAGACCGGCUUCGUGAAUGAGGCGUACUAGCGGUAAGACUGACUUUACUCUUAUACAUAUAUAUAUUAUUAACUUAUAAUAUUAUAAAGUAUAAGGGUUGAAUUUUAACUUUUAAAAUUCUAAGGGCUAACUUGGAAUUAAAGUAUUCAUACUUGAAAACUUUUCAAAUUCCAAAACUUGAGGGCAAGUUUUGAAACUAUUCAAAACUAAUUAAUUCCAUAACUUAUGUGUUUAAAGUAGUUUUAAUCCAAAAACUCUUCAAGUUCCAUAACUUGAGGACAAGUUAUGGAAGACUUUAAACUAAUAAAAGAACUAACUUUUUCUUUAUUUUAUAACUUAUGGAUUUAAUUAUGGUUACAUAUUUUUCUUUAAUGAAGUGACUCUUGAACUUCCAUAACUUGAGGACAAGUUAUGGAGUCAAAAAAAAUUAUUCAAUGACACAAGACUCUUCAUUUUGUAACCAUUGCCAACUUUUAUGAGUUUUAUGAGUCUUUAAUGUGACUCUUCAUGUAACUUGAGGACAAGUUACACAAACACAUUUUAUACUCAACUCUUAGAUUAAAAUGGAUUGAAAACAACUAUUUCACUCAACAUUUCUAUUAAUCUAAGCAACUCAUAAGAACAAGAUAAUUCAAAUCAAACUUUUUCAUGUAAUUAGUCUAAACCUUAAACUAAUACAAAACAUGAAUCUAUUGACAAUUAUCUUUGAAAAUGGAUUAGCAUGAACAUUACCACAUCAAAAACAAGUUUAUAAGUUCAAAAACAACUUAGGGUAAUGUUCCUAGUCCAUUUCUAGCCAAAAAACUCGAAAAUAUGCUGUCUGGGGGUCCAACUCGUCGAGUGCAUGAACAAACUCGGCGAGUUGGAUCGAAUUCAUCACUUUUUAGGCAUGGACUCGUCGAGUCUCCUGAUGGACUCGCCGAGUCUGAUGGCCAGACAGCACCAGAUUCGUUUUUUCAGCUUCUAUUGCAGGUAUAACAAGAAAACAAGCCUAGGCUCUGAUACCACUGUUGGGUUUUGAGCAUUCUAACACUCCUAAGUGUACAUGCAACCCUAAAUACCUUGGAUCUAUGUUUUCUCUAUUAUACAUGCAAAUAAGAACUUCCAAGGUAUUAUCCUAAUCUAGCAUACAAAACAAUGACUAUAGCAAGAUAGAAUACAUACCUCUUUGAUGUAGAAAGUCUUCAUGAAGCUUGAGUGCCUAGUGCCCCAAGUGUGACACCUCAAAUGGAAUCACAAUCAUCAAAACACUUGGAAUGACUUGAGAGAAUUCUACACUCUUCAAAAUCGGCUAGCCCUUUCUUCACUAUCACUAGUGGCCGAUUUUUCCUCAAUAAUAAGAUGCUUAUAUAGUUACACAAUUAGGGUAAACUCUUAAUUGUCAUGGCUUUCCAUUUCCUUGGAUCCAUGGGUACAAAUACACCAUGGAGCAUCCAUGGACCAUCCUAUGGGUUUUAGCCCAACUUGAUUAUCCAUGGAGCAUUAGCCCACUAUACAAGUAUGGAUGAUUUACACAAUCAACCCAUAUAUUUAAUUAGUCUUCUUUUGAUCACUUAAUUAAUCCUAGAUUAAUUCUUGAUCAAUACUAAUUAAAUAAUCUUAUUAUUCUUAUUAUUAAUAUACUAGAACUUAUAAUAUAUUAAUAACCAUAAGUGUCUUAUUUCUCUCAUUAUAGUCUAUCCAAGUGCAUGAUGGUAUGCAACCCAAAUGGACCAUGCCGGGUCGGGUCAAGUCUUACCAAUUAUAGUUAUGGACUUAGACAUUAAUCCAACAGUCUCCCACUUGGAUAAGUCUAAAACUAUUAUUGCGUAUGACUUCAGGAACCGACUGGCAAUCGUAGCUCUCAAAAGCUUCUGUCGAACUCUGACCUUGUAGAUGAACUCUGACCUUUGUCAAUGACUUGUCCAUUAGAUAAGGGAUCAUAUAUUCCUCCAUUCUAGAUAUCAUAUGGACUGAGACAUGGAUUAUAAUCAUUCUCUCUGUCCAUUUGUUGUUUCCCGAUUUCCGAUUUAUGACGACUGACUAAUUGAACAAAUCAAAUCAGUCCUGGCCCGGCCGAGCACUUCCAUUUGUCAUCAUCAAAUCAUCGAGGGGCCCACAGAUAUCGCUUUUAUCCCGAAGGUAAAAGGAAUGGAUAAACUUCGACUCAUAUGGCUUGUUCUACUACUUGUUGAAUCAUACACAAAGGCACGUUUUAUAACACCGAGUUACCGAAUGCGUUUUCGUGCAAUCAAUGUACAACCAACUCAUAGUAACAACUCAUAUCUCUAGGUUUGAAGAAUAUAAGAUAUUAUCAUCUCAUGAUCACUCGUGAUAAAAUCCAUGAAGUGAUUCCAAUGAGCGCGGGUUGAAUCCAAUACUCAGAACUUAUGAGCACUCAUGAGUGUUGUAGCCCUUUGUCCAACAUCUUAGACCUCUACAAGCCAACCCAUGACAGUCUUGAUUCAUAUCUACUUCCAACAUAUGACCGACUGUGGAUGGUUUGAAUAACUUAGUCAUUCCGAAAGAAUAACCUAGUUUAUUCUGGAAGUCAAAACAUGCAAAGUGAAACACAAGAAUAAAUGAAUCAAAUAUGGUAUCAAAACCUAUGAAUAUAAAUAAACACUUUUAUUUAUCACCAUACUGAUUACUCAUUAUUCAUUGUUUCGGUUUUAUCAACUUCAUACUUGAAUUAAAAACACUAGUUGUUCCAUGCUCUAAGCAUGUACACUAUGUUUUUCUUAAACAAUAGCUUUGCCAUACACCAAGUAUGCACUCUAUGUUUGUCUAUGAUCCUUACAUUGUGACUUAGAUCGUUUGAACAUAACUCCAAUGAUCAUCUUUUCACAGUCCCAAACCCUUACUGCAAAUGCAAGAAUUCCAAAUUCAUGCCAUUUACCGAAAUCUGUUUGAUUCUAAACUUAUAUGCAUUGAUCCUCUUGUAAUGAUUAUGCACAAAUUCACUUGGCAACAAUCAUUAUAGAGUAUUCCAAAGGAGAUCAACUCCUUGGAAACAUCCUUCUUACAUUAAGUUUCUUAAUCUUACACAAAUUGAUUGAACAACUUUCUAUCUUUGAACCAUUUUCAUAUUCCAUUUUGACUAUCACUUCUGAACAGGAGUUGCCUCCUUACAGAUUAUGUCAAUAUGGUCCUUC
Molecule: long non-coding RNA, 7210 nt
Filed under: Lactuca sativa (garden lettuce)
Lineage: Eukaryota; Viridiplantae; Streptophyta; Magnoliopsida; Asterales; Asteraceae
Description: long non-coding RNA (LSAT_LNC007244)
Source: RNAcentral